Molecule: ribosomal RNA, 254 nt
Filed under: uncultured bacterium
Lineage: Bacteria
Description: partial 16S ribosomal RNA
Rfam family: Bacterial small subunit ribosomal RNA
Source: RNAcentral
UACGUAGGGUGCAAGCGUUGUCCGGAAUUAUUGGGCGUAAAGAGCUCGUAGGCGGUUUGUCGCGUCUGCUGUGAAAACUGGAGGCUCAACCUCCAGCCUGCAGUGGGUACGGGCAAACUAGAGUGCGGUAGGGGGAGAUUGGAAUUCCUGGUGUAGCGGUGGAAUGCGCAGAUAUCAGGAGGAACACCGAUGGCGAAGGCAGAUCUCUGGGCCAUUACUGACGCUGAGGAGCGAAAGCGUGGGGAGCGAACAGG